UGCAGAAUUUAUUAGCACAACUCCCUGAAUUUGAUCAGAAGGUAAUUCUGAUGCUGCAAUAAGAGCAGUAAAUCCUCCAAGGCUGCAAUAUUGGAGAAACAUCAUUACAGUUUGUUUUUUGAAAGUCUAUUUAUUGCUCUUAUGAAAAAAAUUAUUUAUUUAAAUGUUUCAAGUCCAGCAAUUGCCUGUUUCCAACUAGAACUGCUGGUUCCUUUACAAUUUCUUUCAGGAAAUCGGUAACUUGAUCUCUCCAUAUCAUGGCAUCAUACUCGACAAGUGCCUUGUCACUCCAUCCAAAUCCCAACAAGUCCAAGGCAUAAACUUUAUGGGAUUUUGCAAGCUCUGGUAUGUUGUAUCUGCUCAUACAUUAAUAUCUUAUUUUUUAUUUUUUAUAAAACAAAAAUUACAUAUAGCUAUUAGCUACCAAGUAACAACCAAGAGGUCAUGAUUUUAUAUUUUUACCUCCAGUGAUAAGCUGAAGCCCCAAAACCAUGUAUAAGAAUAACAGGAGGUCCACCAGUUCCUUGUUCUACAUAAUGAAUUUUGUUUCCUUUCCAGUUCCAGAAAC
RNAcentral lists this long non-coding RNA (568 nucleotides) under Zostera marina. RNAcentral's name for it is "long non-coding RNA (ZMAR_LNC001785)". The record is from RNAcentral. Lineage: Eukaryota; Viridiplantae; Streptophyta; Magnoliopsida; Alismatales; Zosteraceae.